Molecule: long non-coding RNA, 688 nt
Organism: Mauremys reevesii (Reeves's turtle)
Lineage: Eukaryota; Metazoa; Chordata; Testudines; Geoemydidae
Exons: 2
Source: RefSeq, a predicted model, not a curated record
CCCUUCUGUAGGAACACCAGUCUGUUGUGAGUAGUCCCAAUUCUGGGGCCCACGUGCUUCCAAGCCAACUAAGCCGGGCAGCCUAAGCCAACGUUUCUAGCUCUGAGGCCCUAGACCAGACUCCCAGAUUCAGACUUCUGGUCUGGCAUUCUUCUUUGAGAUGUGAGGCGCUGCUGCCCAAGUCCCUAAAAUCGAUGUCUGAGACCUCCCAAGCCCCCCAGCUGCUUCCACAUGAUCCCCCAGAGCUCCAAAUAGGCUGCAGGUGCUCUGGGCUUCUAGUUUAACCCUUUCAGGAAUAACAUGGCAGGAAAGCAAGGUACAAAUGCUUAACAAAGGAAUUUAACCACAGUGACUGUACUCUUGAAGGCACUCAAGAGUUAUAACUCUUUAAAAAGUUACCGAGGUACUGAGAAGCACUCCCUCCACUUGUCUGAUCUUGCCCCUUCUGCAAGUCUGAGGUCCCCAGGCUGAGAUGCUGCAGAUCCACCUGCCAUACUGGCACCCAUGUGUAGAAAAUCCAUAGUUCGAUGGAGUCAGAGCCAGCAGCUGAGACACAAAAGUGAUGGCUCCAGUUUGCUUUGUGAUGCUUUCUGAGUGAUGUUCCUUCAAUGAGGGGGUCAAGCAACUUUCCUGGAUGGGGCAGCUAUCUGGAAUUAAAUUCAAUAAACUUGCGUUGGGCAAGGUUAAA